UCUGAGGAGAAGUGAAAGUUACUCCCUUUUGCUUUUUUCUUCUUCAGCAAUCACUCUUUAUCAUUGAAGUGAAUCUUGAGACUCUUUUGUGAGCCACCCACUUAUAACGACAUUAACUGACACACAACCCCGGAUCGCAGAUACAGUGCACAUUGACAGUUGACCCAAUGAGAGAUCUACACAGUGUAAAAAAACUGAAAGGAGAAGGUCACACUGCUUACCUCUUGUCUUCAGGUCUUUGCUACCAUGUAAUAGCAGGAUAUUAUGAAGAGGAGCACCCCAAACCUGAGAGACAGGGAGAGAGAGAAAGAGAAAGAGAAAGAGGAAGACCUGAGCCCUAGGACCAUGCCCCAGGACUACCUGACAUGAUGACUCCUUGCUGUCCCCAGUCCACCUGACCGUGCUGCUGCUCCAGUUUCAACUGUUCUGCCUUAUUAUUAUUCGACCAUGCUGGUCAUUUAUGAACAUUUGAACAUCUUGUCCAUGUUCUGUUAUAAUCUCCACCCGGCACAGCCAGAAGAGGACUGGCCACCCCACAUAGCCUGGUUCCUCUCUAGGUUUCUUCCUAGGUUUUGGCCUUUCUAGGUAGUUUUUCCUAGCCACCGUGCUUCUACACUUGCAUUGCUUGCUGUUUGGGGUUUUAGGCUGGGUUUCUGUACAGCACUUUGAGAUAUCAGCUGAUGUACGAAGGGCUAUAUAAAUACAUUUGAUUUGAUUUGAUUCGAAAACUAAAUUACAGGCACAGACUGUGUGUGGAAAAUUAUUUAAGACUAAUACUCUCUCCAAUACAACCCAACGUUGCAGAGUUAUGUGCAUCCUUUCAAGCACACCCUUCUCAUUAACCUGUGGUGAGUUAUUACAUUUUUAAUGAACAAAUUAAGUUUUAUAUGUAAGAUGGCUAAAUAAAGAUCAAAAUUAUUGAUUAUAA
Oncorhynchus nerka (sockeye salmon) is the source of this 928-nucleotide long non-coding RNA. RefSeq lists it as uncharacterized. The transcript has 2 exons. Lineage: Eukaryota; Metazoa; Chordata; Actinopteri; Salmoniformes; Salmonidae. The record is from RefSeq and is a predicted model, not a curated record.